CGCCGCACGCAGCGCCGGCGCCACGCUGAGGAGAUUGGGAGGUGGGGGGGGGAGACGAAGGAAGGGAGGGAGGGGAGAGAGGAGAGCAAGGGCAGGGGGAAGCGUGCGCGCCCCCUAUGGCCCGGACACGCGCAGGGCGGUGCAGGGCGGCCCGUCCCGGAAGAAGCCUCCUUCUCCCUCCCUCCCCCACCCUUCCCCGCCCCGCGCUGUUCCGGGCCGCAAGAGAAGCCCUACGCAUGCGCAAAUGCAGCACCAAAAAUUCCCCACCACCACCCCCCUUUCCAGUCCGUCAGGUCCCCUCUGUCUUGCCGUCCGAGAUUGAGUGGGACGGCCGUUGAAAGGCGGUUGGGCCGGGGAGGAGGCCGUUGGUUGUGGGCCUGGAGAGGGGCGGGGCAACAGCUGGGGGGAGGGGCAGGGGAGUACAGACGAGGACAAGAGAGCUGACCCGCCCCACUGAAAGGGGGCAGCCUGGGCCAGAGGCGUCUCGGCUGGCUCCAGGAGGCGUCCUUCCCGCUUCUCAUGCCCCGCCCACUUCAGGCCCUUGGGCGCAUGUGCAGCCGGAGCCGAGGGGGCGGGCGAAGCUGGAGGAACUGCGGCGGUAAAACAGAGGCUCCUGCGCUCUGGCACCGUUCACAGCUGGACCGACCUACCUUUGCAAACAGGACUCCUCUGGGCCAGCCAGACCGGGCUGUGAAGUUGUGGCCCAUCUCCUCCCACUUCGGUGCAUUCUAACGAGCCACCGACUAUGCCUGAAGAGCACUUCCUCCUCGAUUGUCAAAAUCCUCUCCAAGGCUCAGGGCAAGUGCCACCUCAGCCUUGAAGCCUUCCAUGAUUUCGAAGGUGAAAGGGUUUCUUCAUCAAAUAUUUCUAGAGCUCUGUCUGGAUCUCCAUUGCCCUAUCACAUUCUGCCUUAUACUAUGCUUAUUUCAGUACAUCAAUUUUUCUUCUCAGUAGACCAUAAAUUCUUUAAAAGUGAGUAGUGCCCUUUUGCAUCUAGUUUCCCUGGCACCCUAUACAUAGUACGUAUACAAUAAAAUUUUUUGA
This is a non-coding RNA of Phascolarctos cinereus (koala), 1044 nucleotides long. NCBI's taxonomy places the organism in Eukaryota, Metazoa, Chordata, Mammalia, Diprotodontia, Phascolarctidae. The record is from RefSeq and is a predicted model, not a curated record.